AUGGCGGCGGACGGCCAGGAUCCCCCGCUGGCGGACGCCGCCGCCGCCGCCUCCGGCGACGACGACGCCGCGGCGGCGGACGCGCUCCUGAGCCCGGCCUCGGAGCAGCUGACGCUGCUGUACCAGGGGGAGGUCUACGUCUUCGACCCCGUCCCGCCCCAAAAGGUCGCCCCUUCUGCACCGUUCGCUUCAAAUUUUUUUCCCAUUGCUUUCGCUGAACCGGCCGUGUUGACUUUGCCUGCGUUGGACGGAGCAGCGGGCUCCGAAUUGCGCCGAGGAAAUAUACGUUUAUUGGUUCAAGCUGCUCUGUUGGUGCUUGGAGGGUGUGAGGUGCCUCCUGGUUUAGUAAGCAUGGCUGGGCCUACUGCAUAUGGUGAAAAGAGUACAACUGUGGCUGCCAAAAGGGUUGCUUCCUUAAUGAGGUUCCGUGAGAAGAGGAAGGAAAGAUGUUUUGAUAAGAAAAUAAGAUACGGAGUGCGCAAGGAAGUUGCCCAAAAGAUGAAACGGCGUAAAGGACAGUUUGCUGGAAGGGUAGAUUUUGGUGAUGCUGCAAGUUCUUCUGCAGCUUGUGUCUCUGCAGCCGAUGGCGAGGAUGAUCAUUUCCGAGAAUCCCAUUGUCAAAAUUGUGGCGUCAACUCAAGGCUUACUCCAGCAAUGCGUCGGGGGCCGGCUGGCCCAAGGACCCUCUGUAAUGCUUGUGGCUUGAUGUGGGCAAAUAAGGGUACUCUGAGAAGUCCUUUGAAUGCCCCCAAAAUGACGGUGCAGCAUCCCGCCAAUCUGAGUAAAAUGGAGAGUGUGGAUGAUGACAAAGCAAUUGUUUGUGCUGAGCCUAAUCAUACCACGGUCAAAAUGGACUCUGGGAUGAGUCCGGAACAAGAACAGAAACCAGAACUGCGCCCAGCGACCGAAGGCGACAGCAUGGCUGAUUCAUGA
This 933-nucleotide ribosomal RNA is filed under the name Triticum aestivum (bread wheat). RNAcentral's name for it is "partial small subunit ribosomal RNA". The record is from RNAcentral. Lineage: Eukaryota; Viridiplantae; Streptophyta; Magnoliopsida; Poales; Poaceae.